Molecule: ribosomal RNA, 253 nt
Filed under: uncultured bacterium
Lineage: Bacteria
Description: partial 16S ribosomal RNA
Rfam family: Bacterial small subunit ribosomal RNA
Source: RNAcentral
UACGUAGGGUGCAAGCGUUGUCCGGAAUUAUUGGGCGUAAAGAGCUCGUAGGCGGUCUGUCGCGUCUGCUGUGAAAACUCGGGGCUUAACCCCGGGCCUGCAGUGGGUACGGGCAGACUAGAGUGCGGUAGGGGAGACUGGAAUUCCUGGUGUAGCGGUGAAAUGCGCAGAUAUCAGGAGGAACACCCGUGGCGAAGGCGGCCAUCUAUCUCGGAUCUGACGCUGAUGCGCGAAAGCGUGGGGAGCAAACAGG